RNAcentral lists this ribosomal RNA (634 nucleotides) under uncultured bacterium. RNAcentral describes it as "bacterial SSU rRNA". It matches the Rfam family "Bacterial small subunit ribosomal RNA", at positions 202 to 835 of the family's 1533-position model. The record is from RNAcentral.
CAAAGGUUAAUUCCGGUGGCGGAUGGGCAUGCGUCGCAUUAGUUAGUUGGCGGUGUAACGGACCACCAAGACGACGAUGCGUAGGGGUUCUGAGAGGAAGGUCCCCCACACUGGUACUGAGACACGGACCAGACUCCUACGGGAGGCAGCAGUGAGGAAUAUUGGUCAAUGGGCGGGAGCCUGAACCAGCCAAGUCGCGUGAGGGAUGACGGCCCUAUGGGUUGUAAACCUCUUUUGCCGGGGAGCAAAGUGCCGCACGUGUGCGGUUUGGAGAGUACCCGGAGAAAAAGCAUCGGCUAACUCCGUGCCAGCAGCCGCGGUAAUACGGAGGAUGCGAGCGUUAUCCGGAUUUAUUGGGUUUAAAGGGUGCGUAGGCGGACGCCUAAGUCAGCGGUAAAAUUGCGGGGCUCAACCUCGUCGAGCCGUUGAAACUGGGUGCCUUGAGUGGGCGAGAAGUACGCGGAAUGCGUGGUGUAGCGGUGAAAUGCAUAGAUAUCACGCAGAACUCCGAUUGCGAAGGCAGCGUACCGGCGCCCAACUGACGCUGAAGCACGAAGGCGUGGGUAUCGAACAGGAUUAGAUACCCUGGUAGUCCACGCAGUAAACGAUGAAUGCUAGUUGUCCGGGGCGAUUG